Long non-coding RNA from Gigantopelta aegis, 728 nucleotides. RefSeq lists it as uncharacterized. NCBI's taxonomy places the organism in Eukaryota, Metazoa, Mollusca, Gastropoda, Neomphalida, Peltospiridae. The record is from RefSeq and is a predicted model, not a curated record. The transcript is spliced from 2 exons.
UCAACAUCUGACAUAGUGUCCAACUUGAAAGCUUCAGAUUGUCAAAGAAAUGCAGAUCAAGAAACUUCUUUGUCUUAAACUUCUAAUUGCCAUGUGCUCAAUGGGGAUUUCCCCAGGGGAUUUCAAGGAGUACCUGACAUGCCUGAAGCCACACUUCCUGUUAACCCUUUGGGCCUGAUUGUGUAGAAUCUCUCAUGCCAUUUGGCAUCUUUUCAUAUCCUUCAGGCAUUCCUUCAGACAUGUCAGGUGGAUUUUGACUCCAAAGAUGAGUUUUUGGUCUCAGAGAAGUCUAUACAUGUAGAAAAUGUACAUUGUAAUGCAUUGUAUCAAUCAUCCGUGCAGUGGCUGAUGUCUUCACCCCACAUCUGCGGAGAUGCGUCAGACGUGUAUGGAUUUCUAGUUUGAGAGAAGCUCACCAGGAAACUUUACAUUCUGAUCACCAGUAAACUAUACAUUCUGGCCACCAGUAAACUAUACAUUCUGGCCACCAGUAAACUAUACAUUCUGAUCACCAGUAAACUAUACAUUUUGAUUACCAGAAAACUAUACAUUCUGAUCACCAGGAAAUUAUACAUUCUGAUCUAUACUGGUAAAAAAGUAAGACGGGAGUGCAAAACGUGAACUGAAAACCUCCAUCUGAAAAUCAGUAUGUCAUUAGCUGCUGUUACAACUACAAAAUGUGAAGUCUGCUCAAAGUUUUGUAGAAAUAAAUCUGAUUUAGAAACACA